GACGAACGCUGGCGGCGUGCCUAAUACAUGCAAGUCGAACGCAGUGGGGACGGGUGCGUAACACGUGGGUAACCUCCCAUCAGAGGGGAUAACACUUGGCAACAGCUGCUAAACCGAUACUGCUGGAUGGACCCGGGGUGCCUUAGCUAGUUGUUGAGGUAACGGCUCACCAAGUCCACGAGGCAUAGCUGACCUGAGAGUGUGAUCGGCCAAACAGGAACUGAGACACGGCCCAGACUCCUACGGGAGGCAGCAGUAGGGAAUCUUCGGCAAUGGACGAAAGUCUGACGGAGCAAUGCCGCGUGAGUGAAGAAGGUUUUCGGCUCGUAAAGCGCUGUUGUUAGGGAAGCGGUAUGUACCCAGAAAGCAACGGCUAACUACGUGCCAGCAGCCGCGGUAAUAC
Molecule: ribosomal RNA, 403 nt
Filed under: uncultured bacterium
Lineage: Bacteria
Description: partial 16S ribosomal RNA
Rfam family: Bacterial small subunit ribosomal RNA
Source: RNAcentral